UUGUAAUAAACUUUUUAAUGCUAUUAUAAUGUAAAUUACAUUUCAUACCAGCAGAAUCCAUAUAUGACAAAAUAACAUGUGAACUUAAUCAAGCUUUGAACUUUUUUCUAUUAGAGUUGUACUACCUAUAAAAUUAUAUCUAUUUUUUUCUUUCACAACUGGUACAUUAUGAAUGUAAAAUAAACUAAGAUUUUAUUAAAGCCUACAAUUAUUAUAUCUAUUUAAAGUACUAAAAAACCAAUAAUACAUAUUUUUAUUUGGUGUUAUUUUAAAUAUUCUCAGCAAAAUUAAAGUGAAGAAGUAGAAAUAAAAUCUCAAUAUUUUAAAAAUGAGAAUGAUUAAGUAUUAUUUGAUGUUAGUUUGAAAAUUUGUAAGGAGUAGUCAAUAAUUAAUAAUAGAAAUCAAAUCACUUUAUAAAGUAACUUUUUACUCCACAUUUAAAACUUUAUUUAUAUUUAUUAUUUUUACAGUAUCCUUGAUAAUUCUAUAGACAUAGAUAUUACCAACUACAUUUAAGUAUGAAAGGUUAAAAUGACCUUACUAGUAUCACAACAUUAAGGGUGAAGCUAAAAUUAAUAGCACAGGUUUUCUGCUUUCCCAACCAAUAACUUAGCUGAUUGAUUCAGCUAUUUUUUAAAGGCAGUAUUUUUCAAAGGCAGUAAGUUUCAUGAUUAGUAACAGUGCUUUUGCCGAUUUGUUUUAAAGAAAUGUGUGUCUUCUACCUUCUGUAUUUUGUUUUUGUUUAACUUUUGGAGAUCUAUUCAAUUGCAUUGAAUUUAGUUUUGAAGUUUUCCAAGAAUAUUUAUUUGUUAUUAUUUACAUGGUCUUUUCUUCUAUAACCAUAAUAAUUUACUAAAAGUUUAUUAGAAUUAGUAUUAAUAUUAAUAUGUUGUUAGAAAUUAAUACAGUCCAGAAGAAUACUUAUGUAAGGAAAUUAUAUUUUUAUUUAAUAACAGUUUAAGAAAAAUUAACAAGUUAGCCAAUUUAUAAAACCAAAAACUGUAUUUUCAGCUUCUAAUUAGGCUACAAGGAGAUGUCCGAUAUUUGAGGUUUCUCUUCAUGUGAAAGAUACAUGAGAUGAAAUUAAAUUGGCUAGUCUUUGAAAGGAUUCUAAGUUUUUUCUGAUUUUCAAAUCUAAUAUUUAGAAGUAAAAUGGUAAUUCAUUCAAGUCAACAGUGGAGGUAAAAACAUAACCCGCUUUCCCUUGAAUCAAAAGAUGUUUACAAUAGCAUGCUUGCUGCUGCAGAGUCUUUUGUGGUUGCCACUAAUUACAUGUUUUUCACAUCAAAGUCUUCAAAAGGAAUAUAGGUACAAAUUGACUCAAUAAAUAUUUAUUGGGUAAAGGAAUUCAAGAAGGUUUCUGGGUAUGGAAAAAAUAUAUAUAAAAUACUAGUGAGAUCUUUGUUAGAGAUUUUCUACUUUGGCUGAAUACAGAGCAGCCUGUCUCCCUAUAUUACUGGAUCUUAUCUUGAAAUUAUAGGCACCAAGCAAAUGAUACUAUAGGGAAUGUGUAGCACUAACAUUUUAAUUAAAAUACAAAAUGAUAAUCUGCAUCGGGGUACAGCUAAGCAUUUUAUGAGUUCCAAUUAUAUUAGUAAUAACAUUUUCAUUUGAUAACUAGAUAACUGGGUAAUUAAAAACAUGUAAUUAAAGCAAAGUCAAAUCCUAAUUUAUAAAGCCAAUGGAAACAAAAGAGCAUAGUAAAACCCCAUUAAAAAGUAGUUGCUACACCAUUAUGAAUGAGAUACAUUUUUAUCAAUAUCUUAUAAAGCAAAUAGAUGUUGAAUCCUGCCAUAUGCUUAUGUAUUAAAAUACUAGAAGACCAUAUGAUAAAGUAAGUCCCAAAUCAUAAACACAAUACAAAAUCCCCAUGAGUUUUUUUUUGCCAGUCCAAAGCCAUUGUGAAUAGGCAUAGGAUGAAGCACAAUGUUGGAAGAUGAUGAAGAAUCACGAUACAAAGCUUUAAAGAUUGAGGUCAGAAUCUAGCUUAGUAACUCAGAAACAAUUAAUUGCACAGUGCAGGUAUAUUAUAUUUUUGUUACCUGCAUUGUUACUGCAUUUCUCAUCAGAUGAAAGUAGGCAGAAUCAUUUAAAUGUAGUCCAAUUUAGAGCCCAGUAUGAAGGGUGGUGGGGAUGAAGGUACCAUGGUUUUUGAGAGAGGAAAGGCCCAAAUGUGCAUUAACAAUCAUGAAGAAAGGGACUGGUUCAAGCAGGAGCCUUUAUCCAGGAGUUCAAGGACAGAUGGGAAUUGGAUUUUGUCUGGUGGACUUGAUUGGCAAGGGUCGAAGAAGGCUGCUUAGCUGAGAAAACAGCACAUGGCCUAAUUAUAUCCACAACACAGGGAUUUUUCAGUCCUCUCUUUAAAAAUGAACUCUUCCUUGCAUCUAUGAAGCAAUGUGAAUCCUAUCAUUAACACUUCCUUCUUUGUUGCUGACAAAAAUUAACUCCUAAACCCACCAACAGAGCUUGAAAUGUCACAGUUCCCUUUAGAGUGACACAGACCUCUUCCUCCUCCUGGCAAAAUCUUCUGCAUGAAUGAAGGUGGAGAGAGCCUUAGUGAGGUGACUAUCUGAUGUCUCAGUGCUACUCCCAAAGUCAUAGUUUUUCAGGCAAGGGCACAAGCAGUGGACAAUGGCCCGGAACUUGAAAGUAUUGAAGGGCAGCCAGGAGACAAGAAAGGCUGC
This 2684-nucleotide long non-coding RNA is filed under the name Homo sapiens (human). RNAcentral describes it as "HSALNT0057463". Lineage: Eukaryota; Metazoa; Chordata; Mammalia; Primates; Hominidae. The record is from RNAcentral.